This 462-nucleotide ribosomal RNA is filed under the name Rhodotorula glutinis. RNAcentral describes it as "eukaryotic LSU rRNA". The stretch from base 83 to 236 matches the Rfam family "5.8S ribosomal RNA". The record is from RNAcentral. Lineage: Eukaryota; Fungi; Basidiomycota; Microbotryomycetes; Sporidiobolales; Sporidiobolaceae.
GGAAUAGUAGCUCUUCGGAGUGACCACCAUUCACUUAUAAAACACAAAGUCUAUGAAUGUAUACAAAUUUAUAACAAAACAGAACUUUCAACAACGGAUCUCUUGGCUCUCGCAUCGAUGAAGAACGCAGCGAAAUGCGAUACGUAAUGUGAAUUGCAGAAUUCAGUGAAUCAUCGAAUCUUUGAACGCACCUUGCGCUCCUUGGUAUUCCGAGGAGCAUGCCUGUUUGAGUGUCAUGAAAUCUUCAACCCACCUCUUUCUUAGUGAAUCUGGUGGUGCUUGGUUUCUGAGCGCUGCUCUGCUUCGGCUUAGCUCGUUCGUAAUGCAUUAGCAUCCGCAACCGAACUUCGGAUUGACUUGGCGUAAUAGACUAUUCGCUGAGGAUUCUAGUUUACUAGAGCCGAGUUGGGUUAAAGGAAGCUCCUAAUCCUAAAGUCUAUUUUUUGAUUAGAUCUCAAAUCA